This 432-nucleotide ribosomal RNA is filed under the name Triticum aestivum (bread wheat). RNAcentral's name for it is "partial small subunit ribosomal RNA". Lineage: Eukaryota; Viridiplantae; Streptophyta; Magnoliopsida; Poales; Poaceae. The record is from RNAcentral.
AUGUGCGGAAAUGGAGAUGAAAGUCUCUUUCACUGCUUGUUAACAUGUGAUCACGCCAAGUUGUUUUGGGUGGAAGCAGAGACAGUAUUUUGUAUAGAGAAGCCCCGACUCCAUCCAAACACUUGGGCCACUGAUUUUCUUGAAGCUAGUUUGGUGCCAAAGAAGGAUGCAACUAUUGGCAUUACGGUGAUGUGGGCUGUGUGGAGCAGUCGGAACAGGUUCACUCACCAUGAAGAAAGAUACCAACCAAAGCGGUCCAUGGAGAUUAUUUCAGAAAUUGUGGGGACGUUGGAGCUUGCCCCUGCGACACAUAUACCUGUUGUCAAUGGGCAGCAGCUAUGGGAGGCGCCGAUGGCCAGGGUUGUCAAGAAGAAUGUCGAUGGCACUGUUGACACGGCUAGUGCAAAAGGUGGCACUGACGUGGUUGCCUGA